Long non-coding RNA from Lolium perenne, 1829 nucleotides. RefSeq lists it as uncharacterized. Lineage: Eukaryota; Viridiplantae; Streptophyta; Magnoliopsida; Poales; Poaceae. The record is from RefSeq and is a predicted model, not a curated record.
ACAGCUGCAGAUCGAGAGCAGCGGCACAUCUAUUUACCAAAAUUAAGCAUGCUCUGUGUGAGGCUGCGGAGGUGGAGAUCUUCAGCAGGGUGGGUCGCCCUCCUCUUUGUCCAAUGAGAUGUCGAUGAUAGCGUCCGGUGCUGCUAGCUUGGUGAUGCGGCUAGUGUCCGCAGCGAUGAUGUGUGUGGCGCUGCGGAUGCGGUUGGCCUGGCCGUCUGGUUCUGCCGCCGGAAGGGGAAGGAUAGUGUGAGCGUGGAGCGGUCUUGAAUUUCAUCUUUCUUGGAGGCUGUCUGUGGAGGAUAGUACCUAAGUUUGUCGGUCCGCGGGUGUCGUUGGAGUUGGCUGGGGAAAGGUUCUUGGUACAGCUGGUUCUGCGGAUCUUCUUCGGUGGCUUUUCUGGCGGGUGGCCGUGUCCUCGAUCAAGUGUGGGCUGAGCUGCAACUAACGGGGGAGGGCAACAGCGGUGGGAUGAGAUUUGGAGGGUGGCAAUGGCAGAUGCGAGCAUGGAUCUGGUGCACAUAGUAGAAAUCUGGGCGGAGGAGAAGGCUGGCUAAGAUUCGGGCCUGGACGCACAGGCGCUAAAGACGAUGGGGCUCCGCUAGAUUCAGGAAGAGGAGUCUCGUGAGCGAGCUGGUGAUGAGCGGGCUGGUGGUCAGAACAGGAAUGCCGCACAUGAGCUUGUGUUGGACCGUUACUACUCGCUAUUGCAUCUGCAAGGCUGCAGAGUCUCUAAAUGGGCAUGGCGAAGUUUGCGCCACUUGUAUGUGUCCACUUUAAGGAGCACUACAUAAGAUACAUCGGGGUCUUGAUGCCAAAAUUUGACAAACUGGUUGUCUGAUAAGAAGGCAGGUCUGUAGCCUAGCUGCCUACUUUCCUUGUUCUGGUCAUGUGUUGCGUGUGCAGACAUGGCAGCGGCUGUAAUAAGAAUAGGCUGCCAAAACUACGGUUUUCUACAAUGGUAUAUGAAGUGUGCAACGGAUAAGCAUGUUAGACGAUCAACCUAGUAAAGCUAGCCUUAUUGUUUAUCUGCAAGAAAUUCCUUGGCAGGUCUUCUUUCUCAUGUUGUUUGCACUCCAAGUGAUGGACAGAUUUGUUGAUGGGUGCAACAAUGUAAUUUGGUUUGCAAUAUACUAUCGAUGAGGAGGUAUACCUUUUUUUUGGUUCCUGAUUUGUCUUUCAUGGGAUAAGAUCAGUUAAUCUCGUUACCACUCCAACAAUAUCUGAAACAUACAGUAAAAGAAAGAACUGAAAGAACAUGACAACAGACAAUACAGUACGCAAUUAGUGCACAGGCCUUGCUGAAAAUCUGACAGGAGAAAUUUUGUUCCUCUGCAUGGCAGGGCAUCAUCACAUACAGAGGAAAGUUUUCAAGUUCCGGUAGAACCUGGGUGAUUUUUAUGUUCUGGUUAAUUCUGAUAUAUUACGGGUGAUCUGCUAUCUUGCAUUUGGGCCGGGCAGAUCAUGUAUAAACGACCAUCAUAUCUUCGGAUAAUUAGUGGCACCAUAGGCUGAAACUUACUGCUAGUUGUGCUGCGUAAAAAAAAAUUGAGAGCAUACAUUCCAAGCUAAAUGCAUGAAUUUUGUGUGCAGGAGAUGGUGGCGAAUUUAAGGAUGUAAAUAUUCAGUUAGCAAGCAUUGAUGCCGAAAUCAAGGAUGUAAAUAUUAAGUUAGCUCUAAUAUAUUGAAAAGUAAAGCCAGUUGAGAGUAGAUCAAACACUAAUAGAUAAUUAAAUGCGCUCAGAUGAUAUAUACUAUUAUAGCUUUCCCUAUCUAAAGGAUGAGUAAGUAUUGAUAAUUAAUUAGAUGAUAAGGCCAGGCUAACUGCUUAG